UACGUAGGUGGCGAGCGUUAUCCGGAUUUAUUGGGCGUAAAGGGUGCGCAGGCGGUCUGUUUAGUCUGGGGUGAAAUCGUUGAGCUCAACUCAAUUAAGCCUUGGAUACUGGCAGACUAGAGUGCAGAAGAGGGUUAUGGAACUCCAUGUGUAGCGGUAAAAUGCGUAGAUAUAUGGAAGAACACCGGCGGCGAAGGCGGUAACCUGGUCUGUAACUGACGCUCAGGCACGAAAGCGUGGGGAGCAAAUA
RNAcentral lists this ribosomal RNA (250 nucleotides) under uncultured prokaryote. RNAcentral describes it as "partial 16S ribosomal RNA". It matches the Rfam family "Bacterial small subunit ribosomal RNA", at positions 524 to 774 of the family's 1533-position model. The record is from RNAcentral.